UUAAGAUUUGGGAGGCAUAUCCAAAAUAAAAAAGCGCCAGCACUCUCCACUAAGUUUUCAGUUCUUUUCUUUCACGCUAUUCAAAGAACCCUAAGCCCCAAAUUUCAAAAUAAGGAUGGCACAGACUCUCCGCUACCACCACUUUGUUGUCCUCCCUCUCCAAUUGCUUUUAGUAAUGCGGUUAUGUGUUGGAAAACUGAGGAGCGUAGAACAUAGUGAAGAAGCAAAGUGGCAAAAUAAGAUUAAAAGAACAUUGUUUCUACAACAUCACAGAGAGGUGCUUGACAAAAUGCUUCAAUGAUUCGAGCUUUCAUUCGGGAAGAGUUUGAAAAAAUCUGACAAAACAGGGACUUAAAAAACAGGCAUAGAAGGCAUAGUUCAAAACUCUGUACCUUACCAUUCAAAUGUUACCUGCACAAACCUAAAGAAAUAAAUACAAAAGUUGUUAAAAGAUUAAGAUACCUUUGUGAUGCUGACGACAACUCGGGCGAAUUAAUAGCUAGACAACAAAUUCAAUAUUGGACUUAGGUCCCCAACUCCUUAUUUGGGACAUAAACUGACUUUUGUUGUAUUCAGGUCAGGUUAUUUCAUAUUGUUCCUUGAAAGAGUUUGUCAAUUACUCUUGUUUUCUUAAUUCACUUCUUUUCAUGUAAUCACAAUUUUAUUUAUAUAUAUUAACUUGCUCUUCUUUUUGAAUAAUGUCUAGCUAGAACUUUUACAAGCAUGUUACUAAUUGUUUCUUGGUUUCUGCAUUCUAUUUGUUUCUUGUAUUUGUUACUAAAAUGAUUUUGCAUUCUUGAGAAAAAAUUGCAUUUGCUUGUGGUUGUUGCCUGUUGACAAUAUCUGC
Nicotiana attenuata is the source of this 847-nucleotide long non-coding RNA. RefSeq lists it as uncharacterized. NCBI's taxonomy places the organism in Eukaryota, Viridiplantae, Streptophyta, Magnoliopsida, Solanales, Solanaceae. The record is from RefSeq and is a predicted model, not a curated record. The transcript is spliced from 4 exons.